This 777-nucleotide ribosomal RNA is filed under the name uncultured Neocallimastigales. RNAcentral describes it as "partial large subunit ribosomal RNA". It matches the Rfam family "Eukaryotic large subunit ribosomal RNA", at positions 23 to 644 of the family's 3401-position model. Lineage: Eukaryota; Fungi; Neocallimastigomycota; Neocallimastigomycetes; Neocallimastigales. The record is from RNAcentral.
AGAGAGAGACAUGCGCGCAUAUCAAUAAGCGGAGGAAAAGAAACUAACAAGGAUUCCCUUAGUAACGGCGAGUGAAGCGGGAAGAGCUCAAAUUUGAAAUCUUCAAGGUUCUACCUUGACGAAUUGUAGUUUAUAGAAGUGUUUUCUGUUAGUGGAGUGGCAAAAGUUCUUUGGAAUAGGACAUCAUAGAGGGUGAGAAUCCCGUAUUUGGUCAUUCCUCCUAGCGUUGUGAUACACUUUCAACGAGUCGGAUUGUUUGGGAAUGCAGUCCAAAAUGGGUGGUAAAUUUCAUCUAAAGCUAAAUAUUGGCGUAGAGACCGAUAGCGAACAAGUACCGUGAGGGAAAGAUGAAAAAGAACUUUGAAAAGAGAGUUAAACAGUACGUGAAAUUGUCAAAAGGGAAGCGUUUGACACCAGUGUUGUUUUUUCCGAAAAUCAAUUACGAAUGUUUUAUUUUUGAGGAGUUAUGACUUCAUCGGCUUGCUCCUUUCUUUAUGAAACUUUCUUAAUGCACUUUUCGGUUAACAAGUCAACAUCAAUUUCUUUUGUUGUAAAAGGGUAUGAGGAAGGUGGCUUUCUUUUCGGAGAAAGUGUUUAUAGCCUUGUGCCUCUGCAAUCGGAGAGAUUGAGGUCUGCAGCGUAGAUCCUUCGGGGUUAGAUACGUUUGUGCUAAGUUAUAGCUUUUCAUAGACAACUUGUUGACUAUGUUUAGUCUUGUAGCUUACUCGCUGACGCUAUUUUACCUACGCUUAGGAUGUUGAUAGUCACAGCGUGUAC